CGUUACAACCACUGAGCAGGACACACGCGUUAUACUAGCAGCGACCAAAGACUGAACACUAGUCACUACUUCCGCUUUUCUUUGUUACAUUUGUUAAGUUUAUAAUAUAUAUUUUUUUAAGUACAUACUAUCGCCCACUGGUGGUUCCAGUGGUAACAAAAAUGGGAAGAUAUAAGAGGGGACUUGUGAGCUUCUAUAGCGCAAAAAAAGUUGGCACAGAACCUCCAGAA
RNAcentral lists this long non-coding RNA (230 nucleotides) under Polistes fuscatus (common paper wasp). Its description in RNAcentral is "uncharacterized LOC122522539". The record is from RNAcentral. Lineage: Eukaryota; Metazoa; Arthropoda; Insecta; Hymenoptera; Vespidae.